Molecule: long non-coding RNA, 334 nt
Organism: Camarhynchus parvulus
Lineage: Eukaryota; Metazoa; Chordata; Aves; Passeriformes; Thraupidae
Exons: 3
Source: RefSeq, a predicted model, not a curated record
GGGACUGCCCGGGGCCGGGACACAGCGAGCCCGCCCGGGGCUGGGAGAACCGAGAGAGCUCAGCUGGGAGAGCCAAACUGAAAGAAAGCAGCGCCACGCAGUGCUGGCGCGUCAGCGAGGUUUCUUGUUUGGCUCUGCUCUAGGCAGCCUCUUUAGCCAUCAGGAGCUGAAUCAAGCCUAACUGAGUUUCAUAGGUCAAGAGGUCUGUGACCAGAAGGAAGGAACCAGCCCUUUUUUAAAGAGGAUGUCAUUUAAGUCUCUGAACAGAAAUCUCUGCCCUACAGCACUGCAGAAAGCCUGGUCAGCCCUGGCUAAAAACUCAGGCUAAACUUGG